UCCUCCCUCUGGCGGCGUGCUUAACACAUGCAAGUCGAACGGUGAAGCGCCUUCCUUUUUGGUGGGUGUGGAUGAGUGGCGAACGGGUGAGUAACACGUGAGUAACCUGCCCCCUUCUUCUGGAUAACCGCAUGAAAGUGUGGCUAAUACGGGAUAUUCUGGGUCUGUCGCAUGAUGGGUCUGGGAAAGAUAUUGUUUCGGUGGGGGAUGGGCUCGCGGCCUAUCAGCUUGUUGGUGGGGUGAUGGCCUACCAAGGCGGUGACGGGUAGCCGGCCUGAGAGGGUGGACGGUCACACUGGGACUGAGACACGGCCCAGACUCCUACGGGAGGCAGCAGUGGGGAAUAUUGCACAAUGGGCGCAAGCCUGAUGCAGCGACGCCGCGUGAGGGAUGGAGGCCUUCGGGUUGUGAACCUCUUUCGCCAGUGAAGCAGGCCUGCCUCGUUUGUGGGUGGGUUGACGGUAGCUGGAUAAGAAGCGCCGGCUAACUACGUG
This 494-nucleotide ribosomal RNA is filed under the name uncultured bacterium. RNAcentral describes it as "partial 16S ribosomal RNA". It matches the Rfam family "Bacterial small subunit ribosomal RNA", at positions 36 to 507 of the family's 1533-position model. The record is from RNAcentral.